This 343-nucleotide unclassified non-coding RNA is filed under the name soil metagenome. RNAcentral describes it as "partial contains 5.8S ribosomal RNA, internal transcribed spacer 2, and large subunit ribosomal RNA". The stretch from base 1 to 120 matches the Rfam family "5.8S ribosomal RNA", at positions 35 to 154 of the family's 154-position model. The record is from RNAcentral.
GAUGAAGAACGCAGCGAAAUGCGAUAAGUAAUGUGAAUUGCAGAAUCCAGUGAAUCAUCGAAUCUUUGAACGCACAUUGCGCCCGCCAGCAUUCUGGCAGGCAUGCCUGUUCGAGCGUCAUUUCAACCCUCGACCUCCCUUUGGGGAAGUCGGCGUUGGGGACCGGCAGCACACCGCCGGCCCUGAAAUGGAGUGGCGGCCCGUCCGCGGCGACCUCUGCGUAGUAAUCCAACUCGCACCGGAACCCCGACGCGGCCACGCCGUAAAACACCCAACUUCUGAACGUUGACCUCGAAUCAGGUAGGACUACCCGCUGAACUUAAGCAUAUCAAUAAGCGGAGGA